GACGGAGGUCUCAAGCGUUGUUCGGAUUUAUUGGGCGUAAAGGGUGCGUAGGUGGCGCCGUAAGUCUGGUGUGAAAUUUCGGAGCUUAACUCCGAAACUGCAUUCGAUACUGUGGUGCUUGAGGACUGGAGAGGAGACUGGAAUUCAUGGUGUAGCAGUGAAAUGCGUAGAGAUCAUGAGGAAGACCAGUGGCGAAGGCGGGUCUCUGGACAGUUCCUGACACUGAGACACGAAGGCCAGGGGAGCAAACGGG
RNAcentral lists this ribosomal RNA (253 nucleotides) under uncultured bacterium. Its description in RNAcentral is "partial 16S ribosomal RNA". It matches the Rfam family "Bacterial small subunit ribosomal RNA", at positions 524 to 776 of the family's 1533-position model. The record is from RNAcentral.